Molecule: long non-coding RNA, 245 nt
Organism: Cyprinodon tularosa
Lineage: Eukaryota; Metazoa; Chordata; Actinopteri; Cyprinodontiformes; Cyprinodontidae
Exons: 3
Source: RefSeq, a predicted model, not a curated record
UCAAGAAUUCAUCUAGUUUAGGAUAUUUCACCAUGAGAUGGACUCCAUCUGAAGAUGAUUAUAACGAGAGCCACCCCAUCUGUUUUGUUGUUCAGGCAAAUAUCAGCAGUUCUACGUAUCAGUCUGAGUUUCGAUGUGUAGUAGUGACAGUUGGAGACAGACCAACAGUGACUCCAACCACUGUCACAUCAACAACUACUAGAACCACCAAUGUCCUGCCCACCACUGUCACGUCCACCACUGUC